Molecule: ribosomal RNA, 237 nt
Filed under: uncultured bacterium
Lineage: Bacteria
Description: partial 16S ribosomal RNA
Rfam family: Bacterial small subunit ribosomal RNA
Source: RNAcentral
CGAACGGGUGAGUAACGCGUGAGGAACCUGCCUCAAAGAGGGGGACAACAGUUGGAAACGACUGCUAAUACCGCAUAAGCCCACGGCUCGGCAUCGAGCAGAGGGAAAAGGAGUGAUCCGCUUUGAGAUGGCCUCGUGUCCGAUUAGCUGGUUGGUGAGGUAACGGCCCACCGAGGCGACGAUCGGUAGCCGGACUGAGAGGUUGAACGGCCACAUUGGGACUGAGACACGGCCCAG